This 404-nucleotide ribosomal RNA is filed under the name bacterium. RNAcentral describes it as "partial 16S ribosomal RNA". It matches the Rfam family "Bacterial small subunit ribosomal RNA", at positions 355 to 777 of the family's 1533-position model. The record is from RNAcentral.
UGGGGAAUAUUGCACAAUGGGGGAAACCCUGAUGCAGCGACGCCGCGUGAACGAAGACGGUAUUCGUAUCGUAAAGUUCUGUCCUAUGGGAAGAUAAUGACAGUACCAUAGAAGAAAGCUCCGGCUAAAUACGUGCCAGCAGCCGCGGUAAUACGUAUGGAGCGAGCGUUGUCCGGACUUAUUGGGCGUAAAGGGUACGCAGGCGGUUUAAUAAGUCGAAUGUUAAAGAUCGGGGCUCAACCCCGCAAAGCAUUGGAAACUGAUAAGCUUGAGUAGUGGAGAGGAAAGUGGAAUUCCUAGUGUAGUGGUGAAAUACGUAGAUAUUAGGAGGAAUGCCAGUAGCGAAGGCGACUUUCUGGACACAAACUGACGCUGAGGGACGAAAGCGUGGGGAGCAAACAGAA